AGCUGCGGUGUCCGAGUGGUUAAGGAGAUGGACUUGAAAUCCAUUGGGUUCUACCCGCACAGGUUCGAAUGCUGUCCGCAGC
Molecule: transfer RNA, 82 nt
Filed under: Ceratitis capitata (Mediterranean fruit fly)
Lineage: Eukaryota; Metazoa; Arthropoda; Insecta; Diptera; Tephritidae
Description: tRNA-Ser
Rfam family: tRNA
About the family: Transfer RNA (tRNA) molecules are approximately 80 nucleotides in length. Their secondary structure includes four short double-helical elements and three loops (D, anti-codon, and T loops).
Source: RNAcentral